AUUGAACGCUGGCGGCAUGCUUUACACAUGCAAGUCGAACGGUAACAGGGUGCUUGCACCGCUGACGAGUGGCGAACGGGUGAGUAAUGCGUCGGAGCGUGCCGAGUAGUGGGGGAUAACGCAGCGAAAGUUGUGCUAAUACCGCAUACGUACUGAGGUAGAAAGUGGGGGACCUUUGGGCCUCACGCUAUUCGAGCGGCCGACGUCUGAUUAGCUAGUAGGUGCGGUAAAGGCUCACCUAGGCGACGAUCAGUAGCGGGUCUGAGAGGAUGAUCCGCCACACUGGGACUGAGACACGGCCCGGACUCCGACGGGAGGCAGCAGUGGGGAAUUUUGGACAAUGGGCGAAAGCCUGAUCCAGCCAUGCCGCGUGUGUGAAGAAGGUCGUCGGAUUGUAAAGCACUUUAAGUCGGGAGGAAGGGCUGUAGGCUAAUACCUUGCAGUUUUGACGUUACCGACAGAAUAAGCACCGGCUAACUUCGUGCCAGCCGCCGCGGUAA
This 500-nucleotide ribosomal RNA is filed under the name uncultured bacterium. RNAcentral's name for it is "partial 16S ribosomal RNA". It matches the Rfam family "Bacterial small subunit ribosomal RNA", at positions 30 to 523 of the family's 1533-position model. The record is from RNAcentral.